GAGUUUGAUCUUGGCUCAGAACGAACGCUGGCGGCAUGCCUAACACAUGCAAGUCGAACGCUCCGCAAGGGGAGUGGCGCACGGGUGAGUAACGCGUGGGAACCUGCCCAGGGGUGUGGGAUAACCGGUGGAAACGCCGGCUAAUACCGCAUACGUCCUAUGGGAGAAAGAUUUCAUCGCCCUUGGAGGGCCCGCGUCGGAUUAGCUAGUUGGCGGGGUAACGGCCCACCAAGGCGACGAUCCGUAGCUGGUCUGAGAGGAUGAUCAGCCACACUGGGACUGAGGACACGGCCCA
RNAcentral lists this ribosomal RNA (295 nucleotides) under uncultured Alphaproteobacteria bacterium. RNAcentral describes it as "partial 16S ribosomal RNA". It matches the Rfam family "Bacterial small subunit ribosomal RNA", at positions 9 to 333 of the family's 1533-position model. Lineage: Bacteria; Pseudomonadati; Pseudomonadota; Alphaproteobacteria. The record is from RNAcentral.